GAAGUACAUCGACUUCAAGGAAGUGACGCAGCUGCAGUGCAACUCCAAAGCCUCCAACAGCUUCAUGUGAGGUCAAUUAAUGUAUUCAGUGUUAUAAUUAACAGCCCAGUUUAUCUUGUGACACAUGGAUAUCAGCUGUACUGUGGCCGUGUUGUUUGCUAGCUAACAGAGAGCUAAAAGGUGAUUUAGCACCCCCACAGCAGCUGUAUAUUUAGACUUGCUAACUGUUUUGUGGUGAAUUUUAUCUUUAAACAUAAUGUAGGAGCAAAAUAAUAGAUGAGGGAAUUAUCUUAACUCACUGUUGUGUCUAUUUUAUUUCAAAAUACAGAUAUGUAUCAGGAAGCUGGCUGUCUACAUCCUGUUACAACAGAAAGUACAUCAACUUCAAGGAAGUGACGCAGCUGCAGUGUGACUCAAAAACCAUCAAGUCUUCAUGUGAGGAGAAGCCCUGUCGGAUCCAGAACCAGCGCUGAGGCUCUUUUCGCAGGUGAGGCUCUCUCAUGGAGGCAGUGUGUGAGCAGCUCCAUGGAGGUGGUGGUGGUGGUGAUGAGGAGGAGGAGGAGGAGCAGGCAGGAGCAGAGGAAGCCAUGCUGUGGUCCAUCCAGGAGGCUCUGGAGAGGCAGACCCUGCAGAUAGGAGCGUCAGCCUGCGGGGCCACAGCUGUGGUGGACGUGCUGAAGGCCCUCGGCGUGGACGUGGCCCCUGAGGAAGCAGACCGCUGCGUCCGGACACACCUGAGGAGGAACGAGUCACCGCUGCCGGACUACCUGCUGUCCCGGAGUGAAGCUGUGAGCGACCGAGAGUUGCACCAGAGACUCUGCAGCGAAUCGGUGCUGCUGAUUCGUCGAGAAGACGUUCUUCAGCGACUGACGCCGGACUGCAGCCUGUCAAGCUUAUCCGAGCAGCGGUGGAAAGCCCUGGACGUCGAGGGUCAAGUGAGACAGAUGCACCAAGAAGAGGAAGAGGAAGACGAUGGAGCCAAGUUAACACACAUCAGGAUCCCUGCAGCGUACAGUUCAGGCGUCACUUUCUUCGCCCUACGAGAAUCAGAGUUAGGACAAGAACUCCUCAGUGCUCCUGAACUACCUUGUUUGUGA
This 1097-nucleotide long non-coding RNA is filed under the name Sparus aurata (gilthead seabream). RNAcentral describes it as "lncRNA (ENSSAUG00010022196.1)". The record is from RNAcentral. Lineage: Eukaryota; Metazoa; Chordata; Actinopteri; Spariformes; Sparidae.